RNAcentral lists this ribosomal RNA (478 nucleotides) under uncultured bacterium. RNAcentral describes it as "partial 16S ribosomal RNA". It matches the Rfam family "Bacterial small subunit ribosomal RNA", at positions 28 to 523 of the family's 1533-position model. The record is from RNAcentral.
GACGAACGCUGGCGGCGUGCUUAACACAUGCAAGUCGAACGGUAAGGCCCUUCGGGGUACACGAGUGGCGAACGGGUGAGUAACACGUGGGUGAUCUACCCUGCACUUCGGGAUAAGCCUGGGAAACUGGGCCUAAUACCGGAUAGGACUCCUGGCUUCAUGGGUGGGGGUGGAAAGCUUUUGCGGUGUGGGAUGGGCCCGCGGCCUAUCAGCUUGUUGGGGGGGUAAUGGCCUACCAAGGCGACGACGGGUAGCCGGCCUGAGAGGGUGACCGGUCACACUGGGACUGAGAUACGGCCCAGACUCCUACGGGAGGCAGCAGUGGGGAAUAUUGCACAAUGGGCGCAAGCCUGAUGCAGCGACGCCGCGUGAGGGAUGACGGCCUUCGGGUUGUAAACCUCUUUCAGCUAUGACGAAGCGCAAGUGACGGUAGUAGCAGAAGAAGGACCGGCCAACUACGUGCCAGCCGCCGCCGUAA